Cottoperca gobio is the source of this 1059-nucleotide long non-coding RNA. RefSeq lists it as uncharacterized. The record is from RefSeq and is a predicted model, not a curated record. NCBI's taxonomy places the organism in Eukaryota, Metazoa, Chordata, Actinopteri, Perciformes, Bovichtidae. The transcript is spliced from 2 exons.
AAACAGGAACAUCCUGUGAGGAUAUAUUAUACCGCAGGAAAUGAUGCACGCCAUUAAGCAUGACGAGAUCAAUAUGAACUUUGCAACAUCAUUUUAAAAUGCUAUAAAUAGAUCAGGGCACAUGGGCGGAGAAAAGUCAUCUCAGGCAACAUUUGAGGAUAAGAAUAUAAACCGUGGUGGAAGUAAAAGUACCAAUAACACAAGACGAUAUCCAUGAAGCCGUACAUGCCGUAGCAGAUUUGGAAGAGCAGGUCCUGACGUUGCCACUUGGCCGAGGGGCUGAGGGAGGACCAGAUGAGCCAGGAGAUGCUGGCGAUGAGGAAAAGGGAACCCAGAAUAAUGGCCGCUAUCUGCACCUUCUCUAUCACCGUCAGAGAGAUGGCCUGCCACUGGAAGAGGAGAGAAGCGUGCAAAUGAGUGUCGGAGGAAGUACUCAGAUUCUUUACUGAAGUAAAAGCACGAAUACAACGAUGUAAACAUACAAGUCAAAGUCCUGCAUUCAUUUAAACCUGUUCUUACGCCACAUGCACCAUAUAUCUUAUUUCAGCUAUAAAUCUCAUUUUCAUCAGGAGCCCAAAAUACAAGACAAAUCCCACAGACGGCCGUCGAAAAGAAAAAAGAUAAUCACUUAAAAUAUUAUUAUAUAACAAGGUUGUUGUUUGUAAGAAAAUAUUUGGCGAUAACCGUUAUAUUUUUAAAAUGAAAUGUUACUAAUACACAUGUGCAUACAAUAAUCCAGCGGCUCUUAAAUCAUUUCCUUCUCCCCACACUUGUAUUUUGAGUGUUAUUAAUUUUCAAAAUAAAAGACAAAAGGCACAAUAAACAAAGUCAUUUUGAAAGCAUUUUAUUUUAUUUUAUAAUUUAUCGUUACCGUUAUUUUGGCCACAGUGAUCGUGUAGUGAUAAUCUGAUAUCGUGACAUUGAAAAUAAUAAUAAUUCAGAGAUGGAGCUAUAUUUAAAAAAUAUGACUUUCUUUUAUCUGUUUUUCUGAAAUAUUUGACACUUUUAAAGUUAUUUAAAUGAAACCAUGUGUGCGAUUAAAGGAACAUCUCAAACCUA